This 459-nucleotide ribosomal RNA is filed under the name uncultured Treponema sp. Its description in RNAcentral is "partial 16S ribosomal RNA". It matches the Rfam family "Bacterial small subunit ribosomal RNA", at positions 341 to 792 of the family's 1533-position model. Lineage: Bacteria; Pseudomonadati; Spirochaetota; Spirochaetia; Treponematales; Treponemataceae. The record is from RNAcentral.
ACGGAAGGCAGCAGCUAAGAAUAUUCCGCAAUGGACGAAAGUCUGACGGAGCGACGCCGCGUGGAUGAUGAAGGUCGAAAGAUUGUAAAAUCCUUUUAGGAGUGAAGAAUAAGCGGUGCAGGGAAUGGCAUCACGGUGACGGUAGCUCCUGAAUAAGCAACGGCUAAUUACGUGCCAGCAGCCGCGGUAACACGUAAGUUGCGAGCGUUGUUCGGAAUUAUUGGGCGUAAAGGGUAUGUAGGCGGUCGUGCAAGCUUGGUGUGAAAGGCAGGGGCUCAACCCCUGGACUGCAUUGAGAACUGCAUGACUAGAGUCACUGAGGGGCAAUCAGAAUUCCUGGUGUAGGGGUGAAAUCUGUAGAUAUCAGGAAGAAUACCAAUGGCGAAGGCAGGUUACCAGCAGAUGACUGACGCUGAGGUGCGAAGGUGCGGGGAGCAAACAGGAUUAGAUACCCUGGUA